Non-coding RNA from Paramuricea clavata, 129 nucleotides. The record is from the annotation of a GenBank genome assembly. Lineage: Eukaryota; Metazoa; Cnidaria; Anthozoa; Malacalcyonacea; Plexauridae.
CCCAAUGUUAUGGUUGCCUGUCUGCGCGCGGGCGAGGCGUUUUAUAGUUGUAUUAUUUCCUACAUAAAAGGAAAUAAUACAACUAUACAACGCCUGGCCCGCGCGCAGACAGGCAACCAUAACAUUGGG